CAAGUCGAACGCUGGAACCAAGCUUGCUUGGUGAAGGAGUGGCGAACGGGUGAGUAAUACAUAAGCAACCUGCCUACAAGGACUGGGAUAAUCUCUGGAAACGGGGACUAAUACCGGAUAGGUAAUCUUAAGGCAUCUUGGGAUUAUUAAAGUUUUGAAACACAAGUAGAUGGGCUUAUGGCGCAUUAGCUUGUUGGUGAGGUAACGGCCCACCAAGGCGAUGAUGCGUAGCCGGCCUGAGAGGGUGAACGGCCACAUUGGGACUGAGACACGGCCCAGACUCCUACGGGAGGCAGCAGUAGGGAAUUUUCGGCAAUGGGCGAAAGCCUGACCGAGCAACGCCGCGUGAGUGAAGACGGUCUUCGGAUUGUAAAGCUCUGUUGUAAAGGAAGAAUGAUCGGGAUGGACUCCCGAGUUGACGGUACCUUACCAGAAAGCCACGGCUAACUACGUGCCAGCAGCCGCGGUAAUACGUACGUGGCGAGCGUUAUUCCGGAAUUAUUGGGCGUAAAGGGUGCGUUNGCGGC
Molecule: ribosomal RNA, 527 nt
Filed under: uncultured rumen bacterium
Lineage: Bacteria
Description: bacterial SSU rRNA
Rfam family: Bacterial small subunit ribosomal RNA
Source: RNAcentral